Molecule: ribosomal RNA, 404 nt
Filed under: Actinomycetes bacterium
Lineage: Bacteria; Bacillati; Actinomycetota; Actinomycetes
Description: Actinobacteria bacterium partial 16S ribosomal RNA
Rfam family: Bacterial small subunit ribosomal RNA
Source: RNAcentral
UGGGGAAUAUUGGACAAUGGGCGCAAGCCUGAUCAAGCCAUGCCGCGUGAGUGAUGAAGGCCCUAGGGUUGUAAAGCUCUUUCACCGGUGAAGAUAAUGACGGUAACCGGAGAAGAAGCCCCGGCUAACUUCGUGCCAGCAGCCGCGGUAAUACGAAGGGGGCUAGCGUUGUUCGGAUUUACUGGGCGUAAAGCGCACGUAGGCGGACUUUUAAGUCAGGGGUGAAAUCCCGGGGCUCAACCCCGGAACUGCCUUUGAUACUGGAAGUCUUGAGUAUGGUAGAGGUGAGUGGAAUUCCGAGUGUAGAGGUGAAAUUCGUAGAUAUUUGGAGGAACACCAGUGGCGAAGGCGGCUCACUGGACCAUUACUGACGCUGAGGUGCGAAAGCGUGGGGAGCAAACAGG